AUGUCGAACACAGGCAAGGAGAUCAUGACGGCGGCAGCGGGAGCACCGAUGCCGAUGAUGGGGGGAUCACAAUUCCCUCGUCUGGAUCGAGAGGACUACGCACUAUGGGCGAUGAACAUGGAGGUCGCGAUGGAGGGAGCUGACUUCUGGGAAGCCGUGGAACUCGGCGGUGCCAAGUACGCGAAGGGCGCGGCAAAGUACCGGAAGGAUCGUCAAGCGUUAACGGCGAUCUACUCCGCCAUGCCGAAGGAUGUGCUGCAACACCUCGUCGGAAAGAACUUGGCGAAGGAGGCAUGGGAGACCAUCAAGAUCCUGCACUAG
RNAcentral lists this ribosomal RNA (321 nucleotides) under Triticum aestivum (bread wheat). Its description in RNAcentral is "partial small subunit ribosomal RNA". The record is from RNAcentral. Lineage: Eukaryota; Viridiplantae; Streptophyta; Magnoliopsida; Poales; Poaceae.